Molecule: ribosomal RNA, 468 nt
Filed under: uncultured bacterium
Lineage: Bacteria
Description: partial 16S ribosomal RNA
Rfam family: Bacterial small subunit ribosomal RNA
Source: RNAcentral
GACGAACGCUGGCGGCGUGCUUAACACAUGCCAGUCGAACGGAAAGGCCCUGCUUGCAGGGUGCUCGAGUGGCGAACGGGUGAGUAACACGUGGGUGAUCUGCCCCUUACUUUGGGAUAAGCCUGGGAAACUGGGUCUAAUACUGGAUAGGACCAUGCUGUAGGUGGUGUGGUGGAAAGAUUAGUUUCGGUAAGGGAUGAGCUCGCGGCCUAUCAGCUUGUUGGUGGGGUAAUGGCCUACCAAGGCGUCGACGGGUAGCCGGCCUGAGAGGGUGGACGGCCACUUGGGACUGGGGAACCGGCCCAGACUCUUAGGGAGGGCAGCAGUGGGGAAUAUUGCACAAUGGGCGCAAGCCUGAGGCAGCGAGGCCGCGGGGGGGUUGACGGCCUUCGGGUUGUAACUCCUUUCAGCCAUGACGAAGCCCUUGUGGUGACGGUAGUGGUAGAAGAAGCACCGGCUAACUACGUG